GGAUUAAAACGAAAGUUUAUUAUACGUUGAACAAAAUUGUACUCAACUUUGAAUAUAAUAUCUCAAGUGUUCAGGCCUCGGUAGUCUAACUGGUAGGACGCUCGCACAGAAUGUCAGAGAUCCUGGUUCAACUCCCGGCCGAGAUUGCACGAUAAAUUCAAACUUGCUAUCACUGUGAGUGCUAGAUGACAACUGAGACAGGCCAC
This is a long non-coding RNA of Cyphomyrmex costatus, 206 nucleotides long. RefSeq lists it as uncharacterized. NCBI's taxonomy places the organism in Eukaryota, Metazoa, Arthropoda, Insecta, Hymenoptera, Formicidae. The transcript is spliced from 3 exons. The record is from RefSeq and is a predicted model, not a curated record.